UACGUAGGUGGCGAGCGUUGUCCGGAUUUACUGGGCGUAAAGGGAGCGUAGGCGGACUUUUAAGUGAGAUGUGAAAUACUCGGGCUCAACUUGAGUGCUGCAUUUCAAACUGGAAGUCUAGAGUGCAGGAGAGGAGAAUGGAAUUCCUAGUGUAGCGGUGAAAUGCGUAGAUAUUAGGAAGAACACCAGUGGCGAAGGCGGCUUUCUGGACUGAAACUGACGCUGAGGCACGAAAGCGUGGGGAGCGAACAGG
RNAcentral lists this ribosomal RNA (253 nucleotides) under uncultured bacterium. Its description in RNAcentral is "partial 16S ribosomal RNA". It matches the Rfam family "Bacterial small subunit ribosomal RNA", at positions 524 to 776 of the family's 1533-position model. The record is from RNAcentral.